Molecule: microRNA, 18 nt
Filed under: Chiloscyllium plagiosum (whitespotted bambooshark)
Lineage: Eukaryota; Metazoa; Chordata; Chondrichthyes; Orectolobiformes; Hemiscylliidae
Description: microRNA PC-5p-729124_2
Source: RNAcentral
CGUGAGCUGGGGUUAGAC